GGCCGGGAGGCGGAGCCGGCUGCGCUGGCGGCUCUUGGGCGCUGGGGCGGCUACUGGCCACGGGGCGAGCGGGGGAGCCUCAGCGCCGCCGGGAGCCGCUCCGUCCCUCCCCGGGGAACCGCCGGAGCCUUGGAGAGAUUAAUGGUAAGGACACGAGGAUAGAGAGGGACCCCAGAGGAGUCCGGCACCCAGCAGCAAAGGUUGUCCAGCCUGGAUCCCGGCGCUGGGGACCCGAAGCAAGGACCCUGACUUGAUGCACGCCGAGUACGAGCUGACUUCUUGAGGGGAAGGAGGAUUACUCCGAAGGCCUGUCCCCUCAAAGCAGGACGCAGGUAAGGGCAACAGCCCUCCUGAUGCUGAGGUUCUGCUGCUGCUGGGCUCUGGCCUCGCCGCGGAGGACACUCAGCAGAGGGGGGUUUUU
RNAcentral lists this long non-coding RNA (421 nucleotides) under Calidris pygmaea (Spoon-billed sandpiper). RNAcentral's name for it is "lncRNA (ENSCPGG00000015801.1)". Lineage: Eukaryota; Metazoa; Chordata; Aves; Charadriiformes; Scolopacidae. The record is from RNAcentral.